Molecule: ribosomal RNA, 437 nt
Filed under: uncultured bacterium
Lineage: Bacteria
Description: bacterial SSU rRNA
Rfam family: Bacterial small subunit ribosomal RNA
Source: RNAcentral
AACGCGAAGAACCUUACCUGGGCUUGACAUGUUAGUCGUAGACUUGUGAAAGCUUGUCGUCACUUCGGGUGGACUAUCACAGGUGCUGCAUGGCUGUCGUCAGCUCGUGUCGUGAGAUGUUGGGUUAAGUCCCGUAACGAGCGCAACCCCUAUGAACUGUUGCCAGCGGGUAAUGCCGGGGACUCUGUUCAGACUGCCCAGAUUAACUGGGAGGAAGGAGGGGAUGACGUCAAGUCAGCAUGCCCCUUACACCCUGGGCUACACACGUGCUACAUUGGGCGAGACAAUGAGAUGCAAAUCUGCAAAGACUAGCUAAUCUAUAAACUCGUUCUAAGUUCGGAUUGUAGGCUGCAACUCGCCUACAUGAAGUUGGAAUCGCUAGUAAUCGCUGGUCAGCUAUACAGUGGUGAAUUCGUUCCCGGGUCUUGUACACACCG